This 2208-nucleotide ribosomal RNA is filed under the name Triticum aestivum (bread wheat). Its description in RNAcentral is "partial small subunit ribosomal RNA". Lineage: Eukaryota; Viridiplantae; Streptophyta; Magnoliopsida; Poales; Poaceae. The record is from RNAcentral.
AUGCACAGGGUUGCAUUCAAUGCCCAGGCUGACUUGAAGAAUGUUGUCGCCUCCGAAAAUGCUUCAAAAUCCAUGUUAACGGAAUAUUUUAAGGCUAAUCAGGAACACCCUCGGUCUAGACAUAUAUUGUACAAGGAUUUUCCCGGAAGCUUCACGUGGCAGAAGAAAAAGAAGUAUUGGAAGCCGCGGGUCGAGCGUUUUCAAAUUGGGCGCAUAGUAUCUGCCAAUCCUGCCGAGGGGGAGCGAUACUACCUGCGUGUGUUGCUUAACCAUGUGGCUGGCAAAACAUCCUUCGACGACUUGCUCACCGUGGACGGCGUGCUAUGUGGGAGCUUUAGAGAGGCUGCUGAAAGGUUGGGACUGAUCGAGGCAGACAACACGCUCGACGAAUGUCUUAAUGAGGCUGAGCAGUGGGCAAUGCCAUGCUCACUUAGGAGGCUCUUCGCAACCAUUUUGGUGCACUGCGAGCCAGGCGAUGUGCGUGGUCUUUGGGAUCGGCACUUCGAGCCGAUGUCGGAUGACUAUCGUCGAUCACGCAUGUGCCCUGACGAGGUGGAGCAGAUGGUGUUGCUUGACAUUAGGGGGAUGUUGCAGUCCAUGGGUAAAGACAUUGUUGAUUUCGCUCUUCCAAGCAUAGAUGGUGCGUUCGACCCUACAGAGGGCGAGGCGAGAGAGGUAAUCGAGGAAUCAACCGUUGAGUUUGACAUGGAUGACACGAAAUUGGCAGAUUCACUGAACAUGGAGCAGAGGGCCGCAUACGAGGAGAUACUAGGGGCUGUUGGACGCGGUGAUGGGGGUGUAUUCUUUGUUGAUGGCCCUGGAGGUACAGGUAAGACCUUCCUAUAUAGAGCGAUGCUUGCCAAGGUGAGGAGCCAGGGCAAGAUUGGUAUCGCUACCGCAACGUCCGGCGUCGCCGCUUCUAUCAUGCCUGGGGGCAGGACUGCCCACUCGAGGUUCAAGAUCCCAUUGAGUUGCGAUGAUGGAGGCUCGUGCAGCUUCACCAAGCAGAGUGGGACCGCCAAGCUACUACGGAUGGCCUCAUUGAUAAUAUGGGACGAGGCCAGCAUGACAAAGCGACAAGCGGUUGAGGCAUUGGAUAAUAGCAUGCGCGACAUCAUGGGAAUACGCGACCGACCCUUUGGAGGAAAGACUGUAGUUUUUGGCGGGGACUUUAGGCAGGUUCUGCCGGUCGUCAGAAGGGGGUCGCGGGGCCAGAUAAUUAAUGCAAGCCUCCGAAGUUCUCAUCUAUGGAAAGGUAUGCGGCAGCUACGGCUCAUCACCAACAUGAGGGCUCAUAAUGACACAUGGUUUGCCGAUUAUUUGCUAAGGGUCGGCAAUGGCACUGAGGAGGUCGACGAUCAAGGCAACAUAGUACUCCCAGAAGAUAUUUGUCUGCCGUCUACGGGCGAGGCUGACGACCUGGAGAAGCUUAUUGAGCACGUAUUUCCGAGUCUGGACAACAACAUGGCUGAUCCAAAUUACAUGACAUCUCGAGCAAUACUGUCCACAACAAACGACAACGUAGACAAGAUAAACAUCCGCAUGAUAGAGCAUUUUCAUGGAGACGAAGUAAUCUACCAUAGUUUUGACAGUGCGGAGGAUGACCCAUAUGGCUACUAUGCUCAGGAGUUUCUGAAUGGAUUGACCCCUAACGGUCUCCCUCCGCAUGCUCUCAAGCUAAAGCUGAAUUGCCCUGUCAUACUUCUAAGGAACAUUGAUCCAUCUAAUGGUUUGUGUAAUGGCACUAGGCUUGUUGUUAGAGGUUUUGAGAGGAACACCAUUGAUGCAGAAAUCGUCAUUGGACAACACGCUGGCAGGAGGGUCUUCCUUCCUCGAAUACCUCUCUGCCCAUCUGAAAAUGACAUGUUUCCGUUCAAGUUUAAGAGGAAGCAAUUUCCUAUAAGGCUUAGCUUUGCUAUGACCAUUAACAAGGCUCAAGGACAAACUAUCCCGAUUGUUGGUGUGUACCUACCCAAUCCCGUGUUCUCACAUGGUCAGCUCUAUGUUGCUUUGUCUCGAGCCACCGCGAAGAUAAACAUAAAGAUUCUCAUUCAGAAGGAGAAGCCGAAGGAGAAGACCAACCAGCAUAAGGACAAUACAAAGAAGCGAAAAAGAACGACCGUGUCCUUACUGACCUCGAUGAAGAACAUCGUCUACAGGAAGUCCUUACAGGUUGAUAACCGGUUAAUAGCAAUGCAGGUUUUGUAA